GCGUGGGCAGGGCGGACUGUGAAUCUCUGGGCGACGAGGCGAUGGACGGCGAUAACGACCACGCCGGGCUCCCUUCGUACUCGGUUUCCCACCUCCUCGUUGCGCACGCUGUCGGUCGAAGACUCUGUGCUCGGGCUCCCCUCGCGGCCCUUUCCGGGGGAGCCGUUCCUCCUUGACGGCGCGCCUCUUUUUCUCCUAGUAUCUCUUUGUUUUUCCUCGUUCACGUUUCGUCCUACAUUUCGCUUGCCAGUGUUAUGGUUCAGUCGUCUUCUCCCGGCGUCUCCUCGUCCGCCGUCAUACCUCUCGCCCCUCUCGCGCCUCUCAUCUUAUUCCUCCACGCGCCCUACCCCCGACCGCCCGCAUGCCGGGCGGACUGGCCGCGGGAGUUCUGCUCUCUUUACGCUUUCCGCCUUAGAUCCACUCCCGAGCGGUGCGCAGCCCCUACCAUUAGUUGCCAGCGAGUAAUGUCGGGGACUUUAAUGGAACUGCCCGCGCAAUCGGCGCGCAAGGUGGGGAUGACGUCAAGUCAUCACGGCCCGUACGUCCUGGGCUACACACGUGCUACAAUGGUUAUUACAGAGGGCAGCUACACAGCAAUGUGAUGCAAAUCUUCAAAAAUAAUCUCAGCUCGGAUUGGGGUCUGCAACUCGACCUCAUGAAGCUGGAUUCGCUAGUAAUCGCGCAUCAGCAAUGGCGCGGUGAAUACGUUCCCGGGCCUUGUACACACCGCCCGUCAAACAAUGGAAGUUGGGAGUAUCUAAAGUCGGUAGCUGUAAGGCGCCGCCUAGGGUAAAACCAAUGACUGGUGUUAAGUCGUAACAAGGUAA
RNAcentral lists this ribosomal RNA (827 nucleotides) under uncultured Sphingobacteriales bacterium. RNAcentral describes it as "bacterial SSU rRNA". It matches the Rfam family "Bacterial small subunit ribosomal RNA", at positions 1065 to 1499 of the family's 1533-position model. Lineage: Bacteria; Pseudomonadati; Bacteroidota; Sphingobacteriia; Sphingobacteriales. The record is from RNAcentral.